AGUGCUCGGACGUAUGAAACCCUUUUCCAAAAGCUUCUGUAGUUGCUCUUUUAAUUCUUUCAAUUUUGCUGGUGCCAUCCUGUAUGGCGGCAUUAAUAUCGGGUUUUAAAAUCAAAAUUUUUAAAAAAUAAUAAUCUAAAAUCAAAAUUUUAGAAUCAAAAUAUAAAUAAUAAUUUUUUUAAAAUCAUAAGAGGUCUUAAUUUUUUUUAAAAUCAA
RNAcentral lists this unclassified non-coding RNA (216 nucleotides) under Hevea brasiliensis (rubber tree). Lineage: Eukaryota; Viridiplantae; Streptophyta; Magnoliopsida; Malpighiales; Euphorbiaceae. The record is from RNAcentral.